RNAcentral lists this ribosomal RNA (429 nucleotides) under Bacillota bacterium. Its description in RNAcentral is "Firmicutes bacterium partial 16S ribosomal RNA". It matches the Rfam family "Bacterial small subunit ribosomal RNA", at positions 355 to 776 of the family's 1533-position model. Lineage: Bacteria; Bacillati; Bacillota. The record is from RNAcentral.
UGGGGAAUUUUGGACAAUGGGCGAAAGCCUGAUCCAGCAAUGCCGCGUGUGUGAAGAAGGCCUUCGGGUUGUAAAGCACUUUUGUCCGGAAAGAAAACGCCGUGGUUAAUACCCGUGGCGGAUGACGGUACCGGAAGAAUAAGCACCGGCUAACUACGUGCCAGCAGCCGCGGUAAUACGUAGGGUGCAAGCGUUAAUCGGAAUUACUGGGCGUAAAGCGUGCGCAGGCGGUCCGCUAAGACAGAUGUGAAAUCCCCGGGCUUAACCUGGGAACUGCAUUUGUGACUGGCGGGCUAGAGUAUGGCAGAGGGGGGUAGAAUUCCACGUGUAACAGUGAAAUGCGUAGAGAUGUGGAGGAAUACCGAUGGCGAAGGCAGCCCCCUGGGCCAAUACUGACGCUCAUGCACGAAAGCGUGGGGAGCAAACAGG